CAGGCCUAACACAUGCAACUCGAGCGGUAGCGGGAAGAGCUUGCUCUUUGCCGACGAGCGGCGGACGGGUGCGUAACACGUAGGAAUCUGCCUGGUAGUGGGGGAUAGCCCGGAGAAAUCCGGAUUAAUACCGCAUACGCCCUAAGGGGGAAAGGAGGGGACUCUUCGGAGCCUUUCGCUAUCAGAUGAGCCUGCGUCGGAUUAGCUUGUUGGUGGGGUAAAGGCCUACCAAGGCGACGAUCCGUAGCUGGUCUGAGAGGAUGAUCAGCCACACUGGGACUGAGACACGGCCCAGACUCCUGCGGGAGGCAGCAGUGGGGAAUAUUGCACAAUGGGCGAAAGCCUGAUGCAGCCAUGCCGCGUGUGUGGAGAAGGCUCUAGGGUUGUAAAGCACUUUCAGUAGGGAGGAAAGGUUGAUGGUUAAUACCCAUCAGCUGUGACGUUACCUACAGAAGAAGCACCGGCUAACUCCGUGCCAGCAGCCGCGGUAAUACGGAGGGUGCAAGCGUUAAUCGGAAUUACUGGGCGUAAAGCGUGCGUAGGCGGCUACCUAAGUUGGAUGUGAAAGCCCCGGGCUC
Molecule: ribosomal RNA, 578 nt
Filed under: uncultured Gammaproteobacteria bacterium
Lineage: Bacteria; Pseudomonadati; Pseudomonadota; Gammaproteobacteria
Description: bacterial SSU rRNA
Rfam family: Bacterial small subunit ribosomal RNA
Source: RNAcentral